AGAGUUUGAUCAUGGCUCAGGAUGAACGCUGGCGGUAUGCCUAACACAUGCAAGUCGAACGAUGUCUUCGGACAUAGUGGCGGACGGGUGAGUAACGCGUGAGAAUCUGCCUCUAGGAUGGGGAUAACGGUUGGAAACGACCGCUAACACCCAAUAUGCCGUAAGGUGAAAAAUUUAUUGCCUGGAGAGGAGCUCGCGUCUGAUUAGCUAGUUGGUGGGGUAAGAGCUCACCAAGGCUUCGAUCAGUAGCUGGUCUGAGAGGAUGAGCAGCCACACUGGGACUGAGACACGGCCCAGACUCCUACGGGAGGCAGCAGUGGGGAAUUUUCCGCAAUGGGCGAAAGCCUGACGGAGCAAUACCGCGUGAGGGAGGAAUGCCUUUGGGUUGUAAACCUCUUUUCUCAGGGAAGAAGAUCUGACGGUACCUGAGGAAUAAGUAUCGGCUAACUCCGUGCCAGCAGCCGCGGUAAUACGGAGGAUGCAAGCGUUAUCCGGAAUCAUUGGGCGUAAAGCGUCCGCAGGUGGUUUCCAAAGUCUGCUGUUAAAGACUGGAGCUCAACUCCGGAACGGCGGUGGAAACUUGGAAACUAGAGUUCGGUAGGGGUAGCAGGAAUUCCCAGUGUAGCGGUGAAAUGCGUAGAUAUUGGGAAGAACAUCGGUGGCGAANGCGUGCUACUGGACCGUAACUGACACUCANGGACGAAAGCUAGGGGAGCGAAAGGGAUUAGAUACCCCUGUAGUCCUAGCUGUAAACGAUGG
This 759-nucleotide ribosomal RNA is filed under the name uncultured marine microorganism. RNAcentral's name for it is "bacterial SSU rRNA". It matches the Rfam family "Bacterial small subunit ribosomal RNA", at positions 8 to 812 of the family's 1533-position model. The record is from RNAcentral.